Molecule: ribosomal RNA, 821 nt
Filed under: uncultured Bacteroidales bacterium
Lineage: Bacteria; Pseudomonadati; Bacteroidota; Bacteroidia; Bacteroidales
Description: bacterial SSU rRNA
Rfam family: Bacterial small subunit ribosomal RNA
Source: RNAcentral
AGGGGCAUCAGGGAUGUAGCAAUACAUUUGCUGGCGACCGGCGCACGGGUGAGUAACGCGUAUGCAACCUGCCUAUCAGAGGAGGAUAACCCGGCGAAAGUCGGACUAAUACUCCAUAAAACAGGGGUUCCGCAUGGGACUAUUUGUUAAAGAUUAAUCGCUGAUAGAUGGGCAUGCGUUCCAUUAGCUGGUUGGUGAGGUAACGGCUCACCAAGGCAACGAUGGAUAGGGGUUCUGAGAGGAAGGUCCCCCACACUGGUACUGAGACACGGACCAGACUCCUACGGGAGGCAGCAGUGAGGAAUAUUGGUCAAUGGGCGAGAGCCUGAACCAGCCAAGUCGCGUGAAGGAUGAAGGAUCUAUGGUUUGUAAACUUCUUUUAUACGGGAAUAAAGUUCAGGACGUGUCCUGUUUUGUAUGUACCGUUAUGAAUAAGCAUCGGCUAACUCCGUGCCAGCAGCCGCGGUAAUACGGAGGAUGCGAGCGUUAUCCGGAUUUAUUGGGUUUAAAGGGUGCGUAGGUGGUAGAUUAAGUCAGCGGUGAAAGUUUGUCGCUCAACGAUAAAAUUGCCGUUGAUACUGGUUUACUUGAGUAUAGUUGAAGUAGGCGGAAUGCGUGGUGUAGCGGUGAAAUGCAUAGAUAUCACGCAGAACUCCGAUUGCGAAGGCAGCUUACUAAGUUAUAACUGACACUGAAGCACGAAAGCGUGGGUAUCAAACAGGAUUAGAUACCCUGGUAGUCCACGCAGUAAACGAUGAUUACUAGCUGUUUGCGAUAUACAGUAAGUGGCACAGCGAAAGCGUUAAGUAAUCCACCUGGGG